This 253-nucleotide ribosomal RNA is filed under the name uncultured bacterium. RNAcentral's name for it is "partial 16S ribosomal RNA". It matches the Rfam family "Bacterial small subunit ribosomal RNA", at positions 524 to 776 of the family's 1533-position model. The record is from RNAcentral.
UACGAAGGGGGCUAGCGUUGCUCGGAAUCACUGGGCUUAAAGCGUGUGUAGGCGGAUUUGUAAGUACCUUGUGAAAUCCCACGGCUUAACCGUGGAACUGCUUGGUAUACUGCUUAUCUUGAGCCACUUAGGGGCAACCGGAACAAACGGUGGAGCGGUGAAAUGCGUAGAUAUCGUUCGGAACGCCAAUGGUGAAAACAGGUUGCUGGGAGUGUGCUGACGCUGAGACACGAAAGCCAGGGGAGCGAACGGG